RNAcentral lists this transfer RNA (77 nucleotides) under Candidatus Cloacimonadota bacterium. RNAcentral's name for it is "tRNA-Val". It matches the Rfam family "tRNA". Rfam says of the family: Transfer RNA (tRNA) molecules are approximately 80 nucleotides in length. The record is from RNAcentral. Lineage: Bacteria; Pseudomonadati; Candidatus Cloacimonadota.
GGGUGGAUAGCUCAGUUGGUUAGAGCACUUGCUCGACACGCAAGAGGUCGUCCGUUCAAAUCGGACUCCACCCACCA